UUAUACCUAUUCGAAGGGAUAGGGUCGGUUCGGCCGGGUUUCACAGCAGGUGUUGCAUGGCUGUCGUCAGCUCGUGUCGUGAGAUGUUGGGUUAAGUCCCGCAACGAGCGCAACCCUCAUCCUAUAGUUACCAUCAGGUAAUGCUGGGGACUUUAAGGAGACUGCCAGUGAUAAACUGGAGGAAGGUGGGGAUGAUGUCAAGUCAUCAUGGCCCUUAUGGAGUGGGCUACACACGUGCUACAAUGGUGGCUACAAUGGGCUGCAAAGUCGCGAGGCUAAGCCAAUCCCUUAAAAGCCAUCUCAGUUCGGAUUGUACUCUGCAACUCGAGUGCAUGAAGUUGGAAUCGCUAGUAAUCGUGGAUCAGCACGCCACGGUGAAUACGUUCUCGGGUCUUGUACACACUGCCCGUCACGCCAUGGGAAUUGGUUUC
This 431-nucleotide ribosomal RNA is filed under the name Wolbachia sp. RNAcentral describes it as "bacterial SSU rRNA". It matches the Rfam family "Bacterial small subunit ribosomal RNA", at positions 991 to 1418 of the family's 1533-position model. Lineage: Bacteria; Pseudomonadati; Pseudomonadota; Alphaproteobacteria; Rickettsiales; Anaplasmataceae. The record is from RNAcentral.